UACGUAGGGUGCGAGCGUUAAUCGGAUUUACUGGGCGUAAAGCGUGCGCAGGCGGCCCGUUAAGACAGGUGUGAAAUCCCUGGGCUCAACCUAGGAAUUGCGCUUGUGACUGGCGGGCUCGAGUACGGUAGAGGGGGGUGGAAUUCCCGGUGUAGCGGUGAAAUGCGUAGAUAUCGGGAGGAAGGCCGGUGGCGAAGGCGGCCUCCUGGGCCUGCACUGACGCUGAGGCGCGAAAGCGUGGGGAGCAAACAGG
RNAcentral lists this ribosomal RNA (253 nucleotides) under uncultured microorganism. Its description in RNAcentral is "partial 16S ribosomal RNA". It matches the Rfam family "Bacterial small subunit ribosomal RNA", at positions 524 to 776 of the family's 1533-position model. The record is from RNAcentral.